Molecule: ribosomal RNA, 2932 nt
Filed under: Escherichia coli
Lineage: Bacteria; Pseudomonadati; Pseudomonadota; Gammaproteobacteria; Enterobacterales; Enterobacteriaceae
Description: bacterial LSU rRNA
Rfam family: Bacterial large subunit ribosomal RNA
Source: RNAcentral
GGGUUGUGAGGUUAAGCGACUAAGCGUACACGGUGGAUGCCCUGGCAGUCAGAGGCGAUGAAGGACGUGCUAAUCUGCGAUAAGCGUCGGUAAGGUGAUAUGAACCGUUAUAACCGGCGAUUUCCGAAUGGGGAAACCCAGUGUGAUUCGUCACACUAUCAUUAACUGAAUCCAUAGGUUAAUGAGGCGAACCGGGGGAACUGAAACAUCUAAGUACCCCGAGGAAAAGAAAUCAACCGAGAUUCCCCCAGUAGCGGCGAGCGAACGGGGAGCAGCCCAGAGCCUGAAUCAGUGUGUGUGUUAGUGGAAGCGUCUGGAAAGGCGCGCGAUACAGGGUGACAGCCCCGUACACAAAAAUGCACAUACUGUGAGCUCGAUGAGUAGGGCGGGACACGUGGUAUCCUGUCUGAAUAUGGGGGGACCAUCCUCCAAGGCUAAAUACUCCUGACUGACCGAUAGUGAACCAGUACCGUGAGGGAAAGGCGAAAAGAACCCCGGCGAGGGGAGUGAAAAAGAACCUGAAACCGUGUACGUACAAGCAGUGGGAGCACAGAGCAAUCUGUGUGACUGCGUACCUUUUGUAUAAUGGGUCAGCGACUUAUAUUCUGUAGCAAGGUUAACCGAAUAGGGGAGCCGAAGGGAAACCGAGUCUUAACUGGGCGUUAAGUUGCAGGGUAUAGACCCGAAACCCGGUGAUCUAGCCAUGGGCAGGUUGAAGGUUGGGUAACACUAACUGGAGGACCGAACCGACUAAUGUUGAAAAAUUAGCGGAUGACUUGUGGCUGGGGGUGAAAGGCCAAUCAAACCGGGAGAUAGCUGGUUCUCCCCGAAAGCUAUUUAGGUAGCGCCUCGUGAAUUCAUCUCCGGGGGUAGAGCACUGUUUCGGCAAGGGGGUCAUCCCGACUUACCAACCCGAUGCAAACUGCGAAUACCGGAGAAUGUUAUCACGGGAGACACACGGCGGGUGCUAACGUCCGUCGUGAAGAGGGAAACAACCCAGACCGCCAGCUAAGGUCCCAAAGUCAUGGUUAAGUGGGAAACGAUGUGGGAAGGCCCAGACAGCCAGGAUGUUGGCUUAGAAGCAGCCAUCAUUUAAAGAAAGCGUAAUAGCUCACUGGUCGAGUCGGCCUGCGCGGAAGAUGUAACGGGGCUAAACCAUGCACCGAAGCUGCGGCAGCGACGCUUAUGCGUUGUUGGGUAGGGGAGCGUUCUGUAAGCCUGUGAAGGUGUACUGUGAGGUAUGCUGGAGGUAUCAGAAGUGCGAAUGCUGACAUAAGUAACGAUAAAGCGGGUGAAAAGCCCGCUCGCCGGAAGACCAAGGGUUCCUGUCCAACGUUAAUCGGGGCAGGGUGAGUCGACCCCUAAGGCGAGGCCGAAAGGCGUAGUCGAUGGGAAACAGGUUAAUAUUCCUGUACUUGGUGUUACUGCGAAGGGGGGACGGAGAAGGCUAUGUUGGCCGGGCGACGGUUGUCCCGGUUUAAGCGUGUAGGCUGGUUUUCCAGGCAAAUCCGGAAAAUCAAGGCUGAGGCGUGAUGACGAGGCACUACGGUGCUGAAGCAACAAAUGCCCUGCUUCCAGGAAAAGCCUCUAAGCAUCAGGUAACAUCAAAUCGUACCCCAAACCGACACAGGUGGUCAGGUAGAGAAUACCAAGGCGCUUGAGAGAACUCGGGUGAAGGAACUAGGCAAAAUGGUGCCGUAACUUCGGGAGAAGGCACGCUGAUAUGUAGGUGAAGUCCCUCGCGGAUGGAGCUGAAAUCAGUCGAAGAUACCAGCUGGCUGCAACUGUUUAUUAAAAACACAGCACUGUGCAAACACGAAAGUGGACGUAUACGGUGUGACGCCUGCCCGGUGCCGGAAGGUUAAUUGAUGGGGUCAGCGCAAGCGAAGCUCUUGAUCGAAGCCCCGGUAAACGGCGGCCGUAACUAUAACGGUCCUAAGGUAGCGAAAUUCCUUGUCGGGUAAGUUCCGACCUGCACGAAUGGCGUAAUGAUGGCCAGGCUGUCUCCACCCGAGACUCAGUGAAAUUGAACUCGCUGUGAAGAUGCAGUGUACCCGCGGCAAGACGGAAAGACCCCGUGAACCUUUACUAUAGCUUGACACUGAACAUUGAGCCUUGAUGUGUAGGAUAGGUGGGAGGCUUUGAAGUGUGGACGCCAGUCUGCAUGGAGCCGACCUUGAAAUACCACCCUUUAAUGUUUGAUGUUCUAACGUGGACCCGUGAUCCGGGUUGCGGACAGUGUCUGGUGGGUAGUUUGACUGGGGCGGUCUCCUCCUAAAGAGUAACGGAGGAGCACGAAGGUUGGCUAAUCCUGGUCGGACAUCAGGAGGUUAGUGCAAUGGCAUAAGCCAGCUUGACUGCGAGCGUGACGGCGCGAGCAGGUGCGAAAGCAGGUCAUAGUGAUCCGGUGGUUCUGAAUGGAAGGGCCAUCGCUCAACGGAUAAAAGGUACUCCGGGGAUAACAGGCUGAUACCGCCCAAGAGUUCAUAUCGACGGCGGUGUUUGGCACCUCGAUGUCGGCUCAUCACAUCCUGGGGCUGAAGUAGGUCCCAAGGGUAUGGCUGUUCGCCAUUUAAAGUGGUACGCGAGCUGGGUUUAGAACGUCGUGAGACAGUUCGGUCCCUAUCUGCCGUGGGCGCUGGAGAAUUGAGGGGGGCUGCUCCUAGUACGAGAGGACCGGAGUGGACGCAUCACUGGUGUUCGGGUUGUCAUGCCAAUGGCACUGCCCGGUAGCUAAAUGCGGAAGAGAUAAGUGCUGAAAGCAUCUAAGCACGAAACUUGCCCCGAGAUGAGUUCUCCCUGACUCCUUGAGAGUCCUGAAGGAACGUUGAAGACGACGACGUUGAUAGGCCGGGUGUGUAAGCGCAGCGAUGCGUUGAGCUAACCGGUACUAAUGAACCGUGAGGCUUAACCUUACAACGCCGAAGCUGUU